Long non-coding RNA from Manis pentadactyla (Chinese pangolin), 2639 nucleotides. RefSeq lists it as uncharacterized. Lineage: Eukaryota; Metazoa; Chordata; Mammalia; Pholidota; Manidae. The transcript has 7 exons. The record is from RefSeq and is a predicted model, not a curated record.
GUCUGUGGUCGCCUAGUGAUACGUCACAACGCUGCGUCAUACACGUCUCCUCCUCACGUGGGCAUUUCAUCAUCUCACAGCAUCAGGAGAGGAAGGGCUGAUAAAAUGGAUGAGAAUUUCAAGACAUGCUUCCGUUUCCCGUUUAACUGCCUUCCUUCUGCCCACACCAGCACCCCAGUAUAAGAACCCAGUAUCCACUGGACCCCCAGCAGGGCAGAUUCCUGGCCCUCUUCAAAGGCUGUGAGAUGAGCCCGUCGCAGACGCUGCAACCAGACAGCUGCUGCCCCGCAGGAGCCUUGGGCAACGCCAGGGAACCGAGAUAGUCCACUCACCACAGGAAACUGUAGCAAACAAGCAAAUGAAAGAAGCUGCUUGCCUGAGUAAGAUCAUCCUAAAAGAGAAAGCAACACAUGCGUAACUCUGCUGGAGCUAGAGCAUAAUUAACACGAAUCUUAAUUUAAGGUGAGAUAGGUUUUCUUAUCAAUGUCUGGAUGGCAAAUCUAAGCACAUAAUUGCAUAAAGUACAGCACAGAGAACAAGAGUUCAGUGGUACAUUUUACCCUGGGACCUUGACACAAGAUACAAAUGGAGACCUCUACAUUUCUAUUGUGUUUAUUGUUUAGGUUCCACCCAGGUGGUUAGUAAUCGCAGAAAAGGAACACGUAGAGGUGGAUUAAACAUUUGUGAAACUUCUUGAUCGGAGCAAAAAGAAAAUUAUUGUAAAUAAUGGUAAUGAUAUCAGUCCAGAAUCCCUAAGUAAAGAAAUGCUCUCAAAAUAAUCAAGUGCAUUUAAAAAUUUUACAUCGGUCUCUAUUUUCUUUGGUUGUAAAGUAUCUUACACAUAAAGAUUUACACCUAUAAGAAUAUCAGUUCCUCCUAUAAUCUCUAAAUAUGCAGGAAAUGAGAACAUAAACUAAUAGCUUCUUCACAAAGUAAAAGUCAUGCUUAGUAAAACAAUUACUCUUCAGAAGCAAUCAUAGUAAUAAAAAUUCUCUACCUGAAAGCACAAUUACUUCCGUGGCUCUGGAGGUGAGGGUGUCUCUCGCCACUUAAAAAUGGAUGGUCUUCAGGCUUUCCUAAUGUGGCACUGCGGGCAGUGUUUGCUUGGCUCCAAUAUUGACUUUGGUUUUCUGCCAAUGGUUUUAACUUUUUGUCCUGUCAACAUAUUCUAUGAACAUCCCAUUUCUGUGUUCAGCCAUUUAAUACAUGAACUGUUUCCUGUUAGGGCCACACAACUCACGCACAGGUUUUCAUUUAUAACAUUCCCAGUUACUUGGGGUCAUGCAGCUUAAAUCUCAUCUAACUGGACUUUUUCCAUCACAGUGACCUGGAUGCACAGCUGAAAAAAGGGUGCAUAUGGAUAACUCACCCUGGAAAAAUCUUCUGGCAAAUGAUGUCUAUGCCUUCCCCUACCCUAGUCAAAGAAGCAUGUAACACUGAAGUUUUAAGUAUGGCAGGGAAUGGGUCAAUGUUUAGGUCCUUCUCCAACCCAAAUCAGGAAAGGAGAUAUAGAGGUGUUGAUCAACACAGUGCAAAUCUGGCCCAGCACCUGUUUUGUGAAUAAAGUUUUAUUGGCACACAGCCACACCCAUUCAUUCAUGUAUUGUUUAUGCUUGCUUUCACCCCACCACUACAGAGUUAAGCAGUUGAGACAAAGAUGGUGUGACCUGCAAAGGUGAAAAGAUUUGCUCUUUGGCCCUUUUCAGAUAAGUAAUCUGAAACCUGCUGUACAGCACUCCUGGCAUAGAGUUUAGAAUUCCUUAUCACACUCCCUCAACUGGGAAAAAAAAAGUGGACUGUUUUCCCAGGAGUCUGUUCCCACUCAGGGAGUUCUAUUUCAUUUUUAUUUUUAGGAAAAGCCGCCUUAUGUACUGAAAUACACCUCCUUGUAACUUCUAUCCUUCAGUCCUAGAUUUCCCUACCAGAGCCACACAAAAAUAGUUUCUUCUUUUUUUUGCCUUUUAAAAUAUUUAGAGACCAUGAUCACUUGCCCACUAAAAUAUUCUUUGUUUUCUAACUGUUCUUCAAAAUUAUGGUAUAUCAUUCUGGCUAGUAAAUUAGAUUUUUAGGGAGUUGAUUCUUAAAUAAAUAUUUUAUGCAUAUUACUGCAAGGCAGAACUGUGUUCUAUUAAAAAUGUAGGAUAAUGUUGCCAGUAAAAUCUUCUGGCUCUAACAGAGUAUCGUACUUCAAAUCUGCAUGCUUUCCUGCCUUUUAGGUUCAGGGCAUGGACUGGUACACCAGCAGUCAACAAGAAUCCUCUCGCCCUGUGCAGUAUAAAAGUAUUCAAAUUUGGGAUCCCGUCUGCUCCCAGCCUCAACAGGAUAAAAGGAGCAAAGAAGAAUGCUGGCAGCCUUCAGACUGGCUAAAAUAUUAGGGGAUGGCAUUUUGUGUCCUUAAAAAUGUGGCAACAGCUCUACAACUGAAACAGGAUUGAAUAGAAUGGCAGUCUGACGAAGUGAGGCCGGAGAAGCAGAUGAGGAGAGACAGAGACCAGGGGAAAAGCAUCUACCUGAGAGAAAUCAAUGUUAUUAAGAAACAUCUAAUACAUGUACUUAGAAUUCACUGUUCAAAGAGAGCGUGUUCUUGCGUCAUCAUGAGUCUGCCAUGGCCCCUGAGCCUUGCUACAGAGAGCGGAGAC